Molecule: transfer RNA, 55 nt
Filed under: Palleon nasus (elongate leaf chameleon)
Lineage: Eukaryota; Metazoa; Chordata; Lepidosauria; Squamata; Chamaeleonidae
Description: tRNA-Cys
Source: RNAcentral
AAAUCCAGGGUUUGUAUAAAACCUAAUCCGAAUUUGCACUUCGGGCCACUGGACU